RNAcentral lists this long non-coding RNA (768 nucleotides) under Piliocolobus tephrosceles (Ugandan red Colobus). Its description in RNAcentral is "lncRNA (ENSPTEG00000013252.1)". The record is from RNAcentral. Lineage: Eukaryota; Metazoa; Chordata; Mammalia; Primates; Cercopithecidae.
CACAAUAUUUAUCUUUUAUGAAUAUAUUAAUAAUCUGUACUUAAAAUGUUGAAACAGGAGCAAAAGAAAGCGGAUCUCAAAGUUAAAGAAAAAAAAAAUAUGAUACAUGAAUGGAAGGAAAAAAAAAAACAAGAAUCGGAGACAAAGAUUAAGGAAAUACAGCAAAUGAAAAAAGAAGAAAUUAAAAUAAACAAAAAAAUAAGAGAAGACUUGAAGAAAAAAAAACAAAUGAUACAGGACAAGAUGAAUAACAAAAAAAGGGAACAACAUCAAAAUAAAGCAAAUAAAAGCCAAAAAAAUGUACUAUCUGAGGAGAUGUUACAAAGAAUAAAUGAGCGAAAUGAAAGAAUUUUACAAAAAAAAAUUCAAUCAAAUGCAUGUCUUAAUGAGGAAAAUAAUGAGAAAGCCAAAAAAAUAUCGAAACAAAAAUUUUUGCACGUACAAAGUAAAUUGUUAAAUAAUACAGGUAAGCAAGUAGUUAAAAAUGAAAUGAACACUUCUUAAGAGAUAUUAUCUCUAUACAUAUGUGCUUAACAUUUUAGUUUUUUUUAGUUUUUUUUUUUAAAGUUGAUAUGAAACAUUUAAUUACAAUGACACAGUCAUCGCUUAUUAUAUAUACAUACUAUUUAUAAACUUACACAUUAUAUAUAUAUAUAUAAUUAAUUUCCUACUAUUACAUUAUAUAUAUUUUUUUUUUUUUUCAUUUGCAGAUGACCUUUUGAAAAUGAUUGAGUCCAGUGUUGAAACUAUCAAAAAUAUUAUAUAACA